AUUGAACGCUGGCGGCAUGCCUUACACAUGCAAGUCGAACGGUAACGCGGGGCAACCUGGCGACGAGUGGCGAACGGGUGAGUAAUGCAUCGGAACGUGCCCAGUAGUGGGGGAUAGCCCGGCGAAAGCCGGAUUAAUACCGCAUACGACCUACGGGUGAAAGCGGGGGAUCGCAAGACCUCGCGCUAUUGGAGCGGCCGAUGUCAGAUUAGGUUGUUGGUGGGGUAAAGGCCUACCAAGCCUGCGAUCUGUAGCUGGUCUGAGAGGACGACCAGCCACACUGGGACUGAGACACGGCCCAGACUCCUACGGGAGGCAGCAGUGGGGAAUUUUGGACAAUGGGCGCAAGCCUGAUCCAGCCAUGCCGCGUGCGGGAA
Molecule: ribosomal RNA, 377 nt
Filed under: uncultured bacterium
Lineage: Bacteria
Description: bacterial SSU rRNA
Rfam family: Bacterial small subunit ribosomal RNA
Source: RNAcentral